Molecule: ribosomal RNA, 507 nt
Filed under: uncultured bacterium
Lineage: Bacteria
Description: partial 16S ribosomal RNA
Source: RNAcentral
GGAGUUAGCCGGUGCUUCUUCUGUGAGUGAUGUCCUUCCUGCCGGCUAUUAACCCGCAGGCCUUCUUCCUCACUGAAAGUGCUUUACAACCCGAAGGCCUUCUUCACACACGCGGCAUGUCUGGAUCAGGGUUGCCCCCAUUGUCCAAUAUUCCCCACUGCUGCCUCCCGUAGGAGUCUGGGCCGUGUCUCAGUCCCAGUGUGGCUGAUCAUCCUCUCAGACCAGCUACGGAUCGUCGCCUUGGUGAGCCGUUACCUCACCAACCAGCUAAUCCGACAUAGGCUCAUCCGAUAGCGCGAGGCCCGAAGGUCCCCCGCUUUCCCCCGUAGGGCGUAUGCGGUAUUAGCCUGGGUUUCCCCAGGUUAUCCCCCACUACCGGGCAGAUUCCUAUGCAUUACUCACCCGUCCGCCGCUCGCCACCAGGGAGCAAGCUCCCCGUGCUGCCGCUCGACUUGCAUGUGUUAGGCCUGCCGCCAGCGUUCAAUCUGAGCCAGGAUCAAACUCUGA